RNAcentral lists this ribosomal RNA (506 nucleotides) under uncultured bacterium. RNAcentral's name for it is "bacterial SSU rRNA". It matches the Rfam family "Bacterial small subunit ribosomal RNA", at positions 29 to 524 of the family's 1533-position model. The record is from RNAcentral.
AACGAACGCUGGCGGCAGGCCUAAUACAUGCAAGACGAACGGUAAGUUGAGUAGCAAUACUUAGCCAAGAGUGUCGUACGGGUGCGUAACACGUAUGCAACCUACCCUAUACAGGAGGAUAGCCUAGGGAAACCUGGAUUAACCCUUCAUAGUAUUAUUGGAUGGCAUCAUUUGAUAAUUAAAACUGAGGUGGUAUAGGAUGGGCAUGCGUCUGAUUAGUUAGUUGGCGGGGUAAUGGCCCACCAAGACGAUGAUCAGUAGGGGUUCUGAGAGGAAGAUCCCCCCACACUGGCACUGAGAUACGGGCCAGACUCCUACGGGAGCAGCAGUAGGGAAUAUUGGUCAAUGGAUGCAAGUCCGAACCAGCCAUGCCGCGUGCAGGAAGAAGGCCUUCGGGUUGUAAAGCUCUUUUGUCAGGGAAGAAACGGUGAGUUCUAAUAAAGCUUGCUAAUGACGGUACCUGAAGAAUAAGCACCGGCUAACUACGUGCCAGCAGCCGCGGUAAU